AGGAAGUAAAAGUCGUAACAAGGUUUCCGUAGGUGAACCUGCGGAAGGAUCAUUAUGGUACUACAGAGGCGCGAAGGUUGUCGCUGAUCUUUCUGAAAGGUCGUGCACGCCGGAGCGUUCUCACACACAAUCCACCUCACCACUUGUGCUUCACCACGCGGGGUCGCUCCCUCUUGGCUCGCUUCGAGAGGGGGAGGCUUGCGUCUUUUUCACACACACACACAUAAUAUACAGUCUGGUAGUUUAGAAUAUCAAUCAAUACAACUUUCAACAAUGGAUCUCUUGGCUCUCGCAUCGAUGAAGAACGCAGCGAAAUGCGAUACGUAAUGUGAAUUGCAGAAUUCAGUGAAUCAUCGAAUCUUUGAACGCACCUUGCACCCCUUGGUAUUCCGAGGGGUACACCCGUUUGAGUGUCGUGAAUUUCUCAAACCUUCUUGGUUUCUUGAUCAAGAAGGCUUUGGACUUUGGAGGUCUUUGCCGGCUUUGCGAAAAGUCGGCUCCUCUUAAAUGCAUUAGUGGGGUCCCCUUUGCCGAUCUCUAGGCGUUGAUAAUACGUUUCUACGUCUUGGGAUUUGCUCUGUUCCUUGGGAACCUGCUUCUAACCGUCUCACCGUCGGAGACAUCGUUCGAGCUUGCUCGACCCACGAACCUUGACCUCAAAUCGGGUGAGACUACCCGCUGAACUUAAGCAUAUCAAA
Molecule: ribosomal RNA, 698 nt
Filed under: uncultured fungus
Lineage: Eukaryota; Fungi
Description: eukaryotic LSU rRNA
Rfam family: 5.8S ribosomal RNA (bases 263-416)
Source: RNAcentral